This 253-nucleotide ribosomal RNA is filed under the name uncultured bacterium. RNAcentral's name for it is "partial 16S ribosomal RNA". It matches the Rfam family "Bacterial small subunit ribosomal RNA", at positions 524 to 776 of the family's 1533-position model. The record is from RNAcentral.
GACAGAGGGGGCAAGCGUUGCUCGGAAUUACUGGGCGUAAAGGGCGCGUAGGCGGGAAGGCAAGUCGGUCGUGAAAGCCUUCGGCUCAACCGAAGAACGUCGGCCGAUACUGCCGUUCUUGAGGGAUGCAGAGGAGACUGGAAUUCCCGGUGUAGCGGUGAAAUGUGUAGAGAUCGGGAGGAACACCGGUGGCGAAGGCGGGUCUCUGGGCAUCUCCUGACGCUGAGGCGCGAAAGCGUGGGGAGCAAACGGG